UGAAGGAAACAAGUACUCUGCUGC
RNAcentral lists this non-coding RNA (24 nucleotides) under Rattus norvegicus (Norway rat). Lineage: Eukaryota; Metazoa; Chordata; Mammalia; Rodentia; Muridae. The record is from RNAcentral.